This 68-nucleotide transfer RNA is filed under the name Marmota monax (woodchuck). RNAcentral describes it as "tRNA.Ala". The record is from RNAcentral. Lineage: Eukaryota; Metazoa; Chordata; Mammalia; Rodentia; Sciuridae.
GGAUUGUGGCUCAGUGGUAAAGCGCUCACCUAGCAUGUGCAAGGUGCUAGGUUCGAUCCUCAGCACCA